GUAGCGCAAUGGUAACGCAUCUGACUCCAUAUCAGAAAGUUGCGUGUUCGAAUCACGUC
Molecule: transfer RNA, 59 nt
Filed under: Schistosoma haematobium
Lineage: Eukaryota; Metazoa; Platyhelminthes; Trematoda; Strigeidida; Schistosomatidae
Rfam family: tRNA
About the family: Transfer RNA (tRNA) molecules are approximately 80 nucleotides in length. Their secondary structure includes four short double-helical elements and three loops (D, anti-codon, and T loops).
Source: Rfam by way of RNAcentral